Molecule: long non-coding RNA, 266 nt
Filed under: Pelobates cultripes (western spadefoot toad)
Lineage: Eukaryota; Metazoa; Chordata; Amphibia; Anura; Pelobatidae
Source: RNAcentral
CACAUAUUCCCUCCCCUUAUCCUGAGAGGAAACUCAAUUACACAUACAGUUAAAACAUACUUUCUACCCAACUUUCAUAACUCUAAAACCAUACAUCACAUUCACAUAAAAUUACAUAUUCACAAUCAAUCCAUUCAGGGGAACAACAUAUUUAAAAAUGGCAUGAAUCCGACCAGGGGUUCAGAAGUUAGUAAAAGUAUCUUUUGGGCCCUGGCUGGCACAUGGCUAUCUGGCUCAAACAGGUUUUACAGAGCCCUCUAUCCUGG